RNAcentral lists this ribosomal RNA (525 nucleotides) under uncultured bacterium. Its description in RNAcentral is "bacterial SSU rRNA". It matches the Rfam family "Bacterial small subunit ribosomal RNA", at positions 355 to 897 of the family's 1533-position model. The record is from RNAcentral.
CUAGGAAUCUUGGGAAUGGGCGAAAGCCUGACCCAGCAACGCCGCGUGGGCGAUGAAGGCCUUCGGGUCGUAAAGCCCUUUUGCAGGGGACGAUGAUGACGGUACCCUGCGAAUAAGCCACGGCUAACUACGUGCCAGCAGCCGCGGUAAUACGUAGGUGGCGAGCGUUGUCCGGAUUUACUGGGCGUAAAGGGCGUGCAGGCGGUUUGUUAAGUGCAGGGUGAAAGCUCCCGGCUCAACUGGGAGAGGUCCUUGCAUACUGGCGAACUCGAGGGAGGCAGAGGAAAGUGGAAUUCCCGGUGUAGUGGUGAUAUGCGUAGAUAUCGGGAGGAACACCUGUGGCGAAGGCGGCUUUCUGGGCCUUACCUGACGCUGAGACGCGAAAGCGUGGGGAGCGAACCGGAUUAGAUACCCGGGUAGUCCACGCCGUAAACUAUGGACACUAGGUGUGGGGGGUAUCGACCCCCUCCGUGCCGAAGCUAACGCAAUAAGUGUCCCGCCUGGGGAGUACGGCCGCAAGGCUAC